Molecule: ribosomal RNA, 434 nt
Filed under: uncultured Ruminococcus sp.
Lineage: Bacteria; Bacillati; Bacillota; Clostridia; Eubacteriales; Oscillospiraceae
Description: bacterial SSU rRNA
Rfam family: Bacterial small subunit ribosomal RNA
Source: RNAcentral
ACGGAAGGCAGCAGUGGGGAAUAUUGCACAACGGGGGGAACCCUGAUGCAGCGAUGCCGCGUGGAGGAAGAAGGUUUUCGGAUUGUAAACUCCUGUCUUAAAGGACGAUAAUGACGGUACUUUAGGAGGAAGCUCCGGCUAACUACGUGCCAGCAGCCGCGGUAAUACGUAGGGAGCGAGCGUUGUCCGGAAUUACUGGGUGUAAAGGGAGCGUAGGCGGGAUUGCAAGUCAGAUGUGAAAACUAUGGGCUUAACCCAUAGACUGCAUUUGAAACUGUAGUUCUUGAGUGAAGUAGAGGUAAGCGGAAUUCCUGGUGUAGCGGUGAAAUGCGUAGAUAUCAGGAGGAACACCGGUGGCGAAGGCGGCUUACUGGACUGUAACUGACGUUGAGGCUCGAAAGCGUGGGGAGCAAACAGGAUUAGAUACCCUGGUA